AUGGCUUCCGAUAUUCCAUUCAUAACCGGUAUACCGGAAAAUCGCCGAUAUCGCGAGCAUCGCGAAAUUGAAAUGCUAUACCGGUUUUCGUAUCGGAUAGCCAAAAUUCUGAUACGCAAUACCGGUAUACCCGAGUUGAUAUCCACACAUAGAUGUCUUAAGAAAAGACAGAAUCUAUCUCUAAUCUAUUGGCGUGUUUGCAAAUGUGGGGUAGGAAUAGGAUAA
Vicia faba (fava bean) is the source of this 225-nucleotide non-coding RNA. NCBI's taxonomy places the organism in Eukaryota, Viridiplantae, Streptophyta, Magnoliopsida, Fabales, Fabaceae. The record is from the annotation of a GenBank genome assembly.